Molecule: ribosomal RNA, 497 nt
Filed under: uncultured bacterium
Lineage: Bacteria
Description: partial 16S ribosomal RNA
Rfam family: Bacterial small subunit ribosomal RNA
Source: RNAcentral
GAUGAACGCUGGCGGCGUGCCUAAUACAUGCAAGUCGAGCGAACGGAUGAGAAGCUUGCUUCUCUGAUGUUAGCGGCGGACGGGUGAGUAACACGUGGAUAACCUACCUAUAAGACUGGGAUAACUUCGGGAAACCGGAGCUAAUACCGGAUAAUAUUUUGAACCGCAUGGUUCAAAAGUGAAAGACGGUCUUGCUGUCACUUAUAGAUGGAUCCGCGCUGCAUUAGCUAGUUGUUAAGGUAACGGCUUACCAAGGCAACGAUGCAUAGCCGACCUGAGAGGGUGAUCGGCCACACGGGAACUGAGACACGGUCCAGACUCCUACGGGAGGCAGCAGUAGGGAAUCUUCCGCAAUGGGCGAAAGCCUGACGGAGCAACGCAGCGUGAGUGAUGAAGGUCUUCGGAUCGUAAAACUCUGUUAUUAGGGAAGAACAUAUGUGUAAGUAACUGUGCACAUCUUGACGGUACCUAAUCAGAAAGCCACGGCUAACUACGUG